RNAcentral lists this ribosomal RNA (261 nucleotides) under uncultured bacterium. RNAcentral's name for it is "partial 16S ribosomal RNA". It matches the Rfam family "Bacterial small subunit ribosomal RNA", at positions 524 to 777 of the family's 1533-position model. The record is from RNAcentral.
UACGAAGGUGGCAAGCGUUACUCGGAAUUACUAGGCGUUAAAGGGCGAGGUAGGUGGUUUGGUUAGUCUGUUGUGAAAGCUCCUUGCUCAACGGGGAGAGGUCAACAGAUACUGCCAAGCUUGGAGUAUGAGGAGAGGGUACUGGAAUUCCCGGUGUAGCGGUGAAAUGCGCAGAGAUCGGGAGGAACGACCAAUGGCGAAAGCAGGUACCUGGACUAGUUACUGACACUCAGCUGGCGAAAGCUAGGGGAGCCAACAGGG